Molecule: small RNA, 165 nt
Filed under: Mytilus galloprovincialis (Mediterranean mussel)
Lineage: Eukaryota; Metazoa; Mollusca; Bivalvia; Mytilida; Mytilidae
Source: RNAcentral
AUGUUUGCUGAAGCAUCGUAAUCAAGAUUGACAUCUGCUAUCAAUAAAUAGGAUGAGCUUCUGCUUGUAUAUAUGUUAAUCUUAUAAAUGCUAUUGGAAAGUUGAUGUCCUGCUUAACCUCUCGAUUGCAGAUGUUAAUCUUAAUGACAAUUCUUCAGCAAACAU